Cloeon dipterum is the source of this 1888-nucleotide long non-coding RNA. RefSeq lists it as uncharacterized. NCBI's taxonomy places the organism in Eukaryota, Metazoa, Arthropoda, Insecta, Ephemeroptera, Baetidae. The record is from RefSeq and is a predicted model, not a curated record. The transcript has 3 exons.
CCCAGCGAGCAGAGGGGUAACCGCGGUCACUUUUCGGUCACCUGACGAAAGUUGAGCAAAGUGUGGUUUUGUGUUUCAGGCAUGAUCCUGAUUCAUGUUUCAUUGGAAUUUUUUUGAAAUUUUGCUUGGAUCAUGCAAAUUUUGAGUGCCCAGUCUUGGGCACCCGAUGGGCACCUUUCGGUUACCCGGAGCGGGCAGGGGGUCACUUGCGGUCACCUAACAAAAUUAAAACUAAGGGUGAUUUUGCAUUUCAGGCAUGAUCCUGAAUCAUGAUUCAUUAAAUUUUUGUCUAAAUUUGGCUUGGAUCACCGAAAUUGCCACUGCCCAGUCUUGGGCACCCAUCGGGCACCUUUCGGAUACUCGGAGUGGGCAGGGGGUUACUUGCGGUCACCUAACAAAAUUAAAACUAAGAGUGAUUUUGCAUUUCAGGCAUGAUCCUGAUUCAUGUUUCAUUGGAUUUUUUUUAAAUUUGGCUUGGAUCAUGCAAAUUUUGAGUGCCCAGUCUUGGGCACCCGAUGGGCACCUUUCGGUUACCUGGAGCGGGCAGGGGGUUACUUGCGGUCACCUAACAAAAUUAAAAUUAAGGGUGAUUUUGCAUUUCAGGCAUGAUCCUGAAUCAUGUUUCAUCGGAUUUUUUUCGAAAUUUGGCUCGGAUCACCGAAAUUGCCCGUGCCCAGUCUUGGGCACCCAUCGGGCACCUUUCGGAUACUCGGAGUGGGCAGGCGGUUAACCAUGGUCACUUGCGGUCACCAAAAAAUUAAACUAAGAGUGGUUUUGCAUUUCAGGCAUGACCCUGAACCUGGCUUCGUUGGAAUUUUUUAUAUUUGGCUGGGAUCACCUAAAAUUGCCAGUGCCCAGUCGUGGGCAACCAUCGGGCAGCUUUCGGGUAGCUCGGAUCGGAUAACUGCGGUGUGACCGGAUCAUGAACUGUGUUCGUAAAAUUUUGGGCACAGAAAAAAAAUAUUGUUUUGGUUAUUGUUAGGAAUGAAAAAUAAAUUUUUUAUGCAUUUUAAUAUAUGAUUGCUUAAAAGGGGCAACUUUUGGUUACCCAAUGGUUAACCAAUGCGCGGGCACUUUUUUCCUUUACUUGCUUUUUUACCCUCAAAUUUUGUCAGUUUUUCGUCACCACAAAAGUUUUAACUUAUUUUGGAAAAUAUUUUUGUAAAAGUAGUAAAAUUACACAAAUAAAUAAAAAAACUUUGAUAACCAAAAUGGGUUAACCAAUGGGCAACCAAUGAGCAACCUAAAAUAACCACCGUAAAUUCUUGAGUUCAUGUUUCGUAGAAAUUAUUUUUUAGAAAUUUAUUUGGUUAUAACACUAAUUAGCAUUUCAAACUCUUUAAAUUAACUCGUUUUGAGCACUUAUUCAUGCUCAGCAUUAUCGCGCGCGUUUCUAUGUAACACUCGUCAACCGCGCGUGUGGCGCCACUGUCGGCAGCAGCACCAGCUGCUGCUGCCGGCUGCCUAUGGCUGAUCUGGCUGAUCUGGCUCAGUUACUGACUGACUGUAAACAAGCAUGACGGUUGAGACGCGCUGCGAUUGCAUCAUCAUUGUUAGCCGAUUAUUUCGCCCUGAUUUCGGUUGCAUUUCGGCAAAUCGACAACAUCAACAGAUACUUGGACGGAUGGUCGAUGUUCCUGAUAUUCCGAAAGGCUUCUACCGCAUCCCGCCCUGAUGUCCUUGUUGGGAAUAGCUGCCUGUACACGAUGGCCAUCCGGUUAUAAGCCUGGAAAACUUAACUAAACAUCGCCCGCAUAUUAUCCAGAGUUGUGUGCUGUUGGUUCGAUUUGCUUUUGCUACCGACGUGGAAUGCGCUGGGACUAUGAACUCCUGCAGAGAUGAAAAGCAACGAACCCACAUGUUUUGGCAGGAAGCGCGCUGGACGACA